This 452-nucleotide ribosomal RNA is filed under the name uncultured bacterium. RNAcentral's name for it is "bacterial SSU rRNA". It matches the Rfam family "Bacterial small subunit ribosomal RNA", at positions 340 to 786 of the family's 1533-position model. The record is from RNAcentral.
UACGGAAGGCAGCAGUGGGAAUAUUGCACAAUGGGCGCAAGCCUGAUGCAGCCAUGCCGCGUGUAUGAAAAAGGCCUUCGGGUUGUAAAGUACUUUCAGUCGUGAGGAAGGUGUUAAGGUUAAUAACCUUAGCAAUUGACGUUAGCGACAGAAGAAGCACCGGCUAACUCCGUGCCAGCAGCCGCGGUAAUACGGAGGGUGCGAGCGUUAAUCGGAAUUACUGGGCGUAAAGGGCACGCAGGCGGUUAAUUAAGUUGGAUGUGAAAUCCCCGGGCUUAACCUGGGAAUGGCAUUCAAGACUGGUUAGCUAGAGUCUUGUAGAGGGGGUAGAAUUCCAUGUGUAGCGGUGAAAUGCGUAGAGAUGUGGAGGAAUACCGGUGGCGAAGGCGGCCCCUGGACAAAGACUGACGCUCAUGUGCGAAAGCGUGGGGAGCAAACAGGGAUUAGAUACC